RNAcentral lists this ribosomal RNA (450 nucleotides) under uncultured bacterium. RNAcentral describes it as "partial 16S ribosomal RNA". It matches the Rfam family "Bacterial small subunit ribosomal RNA", at positions 354 to 796 of the family's 1533-position model. The record is from RNAcentral.
GUGGGGAAUAUUGGACAAUGGGCGAAAGCCUGAUCCAGCCAUGCCGCGUGUGUGAAGAAGGUCUUCGGAUUGUAAAGCACUUUAAGUUGGGAGGAAGGGCAGUAAGUUAAUACCUUGCUGUUUUGACGUUACCGACAGAAUAAGCACCGGCUAACUUCGUGCCAGCAGCCGCGGUAAUACGAAGGGUGCAAGCGUUAAUCGGAAUUACUGGGCGUAAAGCGCGCGUAGGUGGUUUUGUAAGUUGGAGGUGAAAUCCCCGGGCUCAACCUGGGAACUGCCUCCAAAACUGCAUGACUAGAGUACGGUAGAGGGUAGUGGAAUUUCCUGUGUAGCGGUGAAAUGCGUAGAUAUAGGAAGGAACACCAGUGGCGAAGGCGACUACCUGGACUGAUACUGACACUGAGGCGCGAAAGCGUGGGGAGCAAACAGGAUUAGAAACCCUAGUAGUCC